RNAcentral lists this long non-coding RNA (474 nucleotides) under Rattus norvegicus (Norway rat). RNAcentral's name for it is "long non-coding RNA NONRATT019543". The record is from RNAcentral. Lineage: Eukaryota; Metazoa; Chordata; Mammalia; Rodentia; Muridae.
CUUGAGUGUAGGCGCCUUGAGGCAAGGCCCUCUAGACUGAAGAAUCUAGUAAGUCAACACGAUGGCCAGUGCCCAGCUAAAUCCAAGCAACCCCUGGCUCAGUGGAAACGUACCUCGUACUCCACGAAAGAUUAGGCUGGACUGUGGGACUGUCUUGUCCACAGACAAGAAGACGGCCUUCUCGGAAGGAAGCCGGAUCCUUUUCCUGAUGAUCCACAUGAACUGAGCCACAGUGAUGUCAGAUGGGACCAAGAACUUCCUCUUGUCAAUGUCAACAAUCUGAGAGCCGAAGACAUUUUCCGCGAUCACCGGAAGCUGGUCAGUCUCUGCUGAAAGGGACAGAUGGAGAGAUGACCAGCUGGAUGGGGAAAUCUCUGCACACCAUACGUCCUGACGAAGACUAGAAUCAAUUUUGUGUUUAUGUAAUUCUCAGAAUUUGAUAUUGAAAACAAUAAAGUUAGAAGGAGAAAAAAU